Molecule: transfer RNA, 88 nt
Filed under: compost metagenome
Description: tRNA-Ser
Rfam family: tRNA
About the family: Transfer RNA (tRNA) molecules are approximately 80 nucleotides in length. Their secondary structure includes four short double-helical elements and three loops (D, anti-codon, and T loops).
Source: RNAcentral
AGUAGAUUGCCCGAGAGGCUUAAGGGGCACGCCUGGAAAGCGUGUUGGUGUAACAGCCACAAGAGUUCGAAUCUCUUAUCUACUGCCA